Meriones unguiculatus (Mongolian gerbil) is the source of this 75-nucleotide small nucleolar RNA. The record is from Ensembl. NCBI's taxonomy places the organism in Eukaryota, Metazoa, Chordata, Mammalia, Rodentia, Muridae.
ACGACCGAUGAUGAGAACUGGUGGCGUUAGAGUGAUACUCAAUGAACGCCAGAUAUCCAGAGAUCUGAGGUCAUU